Solanum tuberosum (potato) is the source of this 642-nucleotide long non-coding RNA. RefSeq lists it as uncharacterized. The transcript is spliced from 3 exons. Lineage: Eukaryota; Viridiplantae; Streptophyta; Magnoliopsida; Solanales; Solanaceae. The record is from RefSeq and is a predicted model, not a curated record.
AUAAAAGUCAAUUGAUUCGAACUAUAUACAUAACAUGUUCUUCACAUAAAACUACUUCCAACCAACGUAGUCAACAAGUCAGGUGGAACCCCAAAAGUUUAAGGUGCAUUUCUGCAAAGAAGUGACAACUAAAGAGCUAAUGUGGUGUUAGUAGAAAGAGAGAUGUGGCCAGUUUGAUUUAGCAACAUGCAAAGACAACUCGGUUGUUGGCUAUAGAGUUGUUUGAGGGGACUGAAGCACUUCUCUGUCGGCGAGUGCGAUUUGCGCUACACGAACAGUCCACAAGGAGCCAAUUAAAGCAGGAGCCUCUCACAUGAUGACAUGAUACAGUCUGCAGUACUACACUGUGAAUUCAAAUCUUGGAACAUAUUCAAAGAAGAGGUCAUCAAAAGCUGAACUAGAGUCUGAUGCACAACCUUAUGAACAACCUUUGUUGAUGUUAUUCCUUACCACAAUAGACUCGGAGCAAAUGGACUUGUCCAACGUUUUGAACAACAUAUUUCAGUUGUGUUUGUAUCAUCAGCCUCACCCUAGCGCAUAUGUUGAAUAGUUGUUUUAUGCACUUUUUUAGAAGUAGUUCAACUCUCUUACCUGAGUUGAGUUUAAGAUCUGAGGAUUAGAUGAGCCAUUUUUUAGGCAUUC